Molecule: ribosomal RNA, 373 nt
Filed under: uncultured bacterium
Lineage: Bacteria
Description: bacterial SSU rRNA
Rfam family: Bacterial small subunit ribosomal RNA
Source: RNAcentral
GGAGGGGGCUAGCGUUAUUCGGAAUUAUUGGGCGUAAAGGGCGCGUAGGCGGCCCGGUAAGUCAAAGGUGAAAUCCCUCGGCUCAACUGAGGAACUGCCUUUGAAACUGUCGGGCUUGAGGCCGGGAGGGGGUAGCGGAAUUCCCAGUGUAGCGGUGAAAUGCGUAGAUAUUGGGAGGAACACCGGUGGCGAAGGCGGCUACCUGGACCGGUUCUGACGCUGAUGCGCGAAAGCGUGGGUAGCAAACAGGAUUAGAUACCCUGGUAGUCCACGCUGUAAACGAUGAGUGCUCGGUGUCGCGGGUAUCGACCCCUGCGGUGCCUUAGCUAACGCGUUAAGCACUCCGCCUGGGGAGUACGGUCGCAAGGCUGAA